AUGCCCGGUUGCCUGCCGACGAGCCGCCACCGGCCCCGCCGUGCUCGCUCCUCCUCAAUACCUCUCCACCACCGCCGUUGCCUGUGCCCCUGCCGCGUACGUCUCGCGCGUGCCUUAGCUGCGACGGGCUCGUUCACAGCCGCUGCCGCAUGCGCCCGCCCGGCGAGCUCCGCCGCCAGCCGUCACCUCGCUGCCCUACGUCUCCCAGCCUCCGCGCCAGCCCGUCCCCGACCUCCCUUGCGCCCGCUGCCAUGUCGAGCAGAUACCGCAGCCCAAAUCUUGAGCCAGGGAAACCCUAAUCGCCCCAGAACUAUAAGGCGCCGCCAGCACCGCAUUUCCCAAACCCUUGCGCCACAACCAGACGACGGGUAA
RNAcentral lists this ribosomal RNA (372 nucleotides) under Triticum aestivum (bread wheat). RNAcentral's name for it is "partial small subunit ribosomal RNA". The record is from RNAcentral. Lineage: Eukaryota; Viridiplantae; Streptophyta; Magnoliopsida; Poales; Poaceae.